GGGGGAGCCACCGGCCUGUCGGGCUCCAGAGCCGCCCCUUCCGGGGGGCGCGGCAGAAAAAACCGCUGGUGAUGCCCAGAGCUGCCUUUUGCCUCCGUUGCUGGCAAGCGGGGCCUUGUUUGGUCCCCUCACCCCCCACGCAGCUGAUGAGGAGCUAUUGGCUGGGGUGGUGCCCCAGAAGCCCCUGGGGCAGGAAGGUGCAGCCGGGCUCUUACGUUAUCUGGCUUCGCUUAGGCCUCCUGUCCUCUGUUUCCUUAGGCUGGUUUUAAGAGAGGUGCAGAUCCUGGAAUGCCUGCGCCAACUAUUUUGAGUCUGCUUUGGGGAUGAAAGAUUGGCCAGACUGUAAAAGAACCAUUUGAUGGACAGAGAAAAUGGAGAUGUGGACCUUCACAAGGCUAGGGAAGGAGGACCCUGUAUCACAUUACAUCAGCUAGCCUGAGCAGCUUCCUGAUGACAUAGAUGUACAUACAACAAAAUGGAAUUUUUAUUGACCUAACUUAUUUGGUUUACAGUGAAAUUAAAUAAAUUGUUUGAAUCUGUG
Pelodiscus sinensis (Chinese soft-shelled turtle) is the source of this 541-nucleotide non-coding RNA. Lineage: Eukaryota; Metazoa; Chordata; Testudines; Trionychidae. The record is from RefSeq and is a predicted model, not a curated record.